GACGAACGCUGGCGGCGUGCCUAAUACAUGCAAGUUGAGCGCUGAAGGUUGGUACUUGUACCAACUGGAUGAGCAGCGAACGGGUGAGUAACGCGUGGGGAAUCUGCCUUUGAGCGGGGGACAACAUUUGGAAACGAAUGCUAAUACCGCAUAAAAACUUUAAACACAAGUUUUAAGUUUGAAAGAUGCAAUUGCAUCACUCAAAGAUGAUCCCGCGUUGUAUUAGCUAGUUGGUGAGGUAAAGGCUCACCAAGGCGAUGAUACAUAGCCGACCUGAGAGGGUGGUCGGCCACAUUGGGACUGGGACACGGCCCCAACUCCUACGGGAGGCAGCAGUAGGGGAUCUUCGGCCAUGGACGAAAGUCUGACCGAGCCACGCCGCGUGAGUGAAGAAGGUUUUCGGAUCGUAAAACUCUGUUGGUAGAGAAGAACGUUGGUGAGAGUGGAAAGCUCAUCAAGUGACGGUAACUACCCAGAAAGGGACGGCUAACUACGUG
Molecule: ribosomal RNA, 497 nt
Filed under: uncultured bacterium
Lineage: Bacteria
Description: partial 16S ribosomal RNA
Rfam family: Bacterial small subunit ribosomal RNA
Source: RNAcentral